Molecule: ribosomal RNA, 433 nt
Filed under: uncultured bacterium
Lineage: Bacteria
Description: partial 16S ribosomal RNA
Rfam family: Bacterial small subunit ribosomal RNA
Source: RNAcentral
AGCGAACGCUGGCGGCAGGCCUAACACAUGCAAGUCGAACGAACUCUUCGGAGUUAGUGGCGGACGGGUGAGUAACACGUGGGAACGUGCCUUUAGGUUCGGAAUAACUCAGGGAAACUUGUGCUAAUACCGAAUGUGCCCUUCGGGGGAAAGAUUUAUCGCCUUUAGAGCGGCCCGCGUCUGAUUAGCUAGUUGGUGAGGUAAAGGCUCACCAAGGCGACGAUCAGUAGCUGGUCUGAGAGGAUGAUCAGCCACAUUGGGUCUGAGACACGGCCCAAACUCCUACGGGAGGCAGCAGUGGGGAAUCUUGCGCAAUGGGCGAAAGCCUGACGCAGCCAUGCCGCGUGAAUGAUGAAGGUCUUAGGAUUGUAAAAUUCUUUCACCGGGGACGAUAAUGACGGUACCCGGAGAAGAAGCCCCGGCUAACUUCGUG